CAACCCUCAAGCCCUGCUUGGUGUUGGGGCCCUACGGCUGCCGUAGGCCCUGAAAGGAAGUGGCGGGCUCGCUAUAACUCCGAGCGUAGUAAUUAGUUUUCUCGCUAUGGACGUUGCGGCGGUGCUCCUGCCGUUAAAGACCCCAUCUUUAACCAAA
This 157-nucleotide unclassified non-coding RNA is filed under the name uncultured Lecythophora. Its description in RNAcentral is "partial internal transcribed spacer 2". The record is from RNAcentral. Lineage: Eukaryota; Fungi; Ascomycota; Sordariomycetes; Coniochaetales.